GAUGAACGCUGGCGGCGUGCCUAAUACAUGCAAGUCGAGCGAACGGACGAGAAGCUUGCUUCUCUGAUGUUAGCGGCGGACGGGUGAGUAACACGUGGAUAACCUACCUAUAAGACUGGGAUAACUUCGGGAAACCGGAGCUAAUACCGUAUAAUCUUUUGAACCGCAUGGUUCAAAAGUGAAAGACGGUCUUGCUGUCACUUAUAGAUGGAUCCGCGCUGCAUUAGCUAGUUGGUAAGGUAACGGCUUACCAAGGCAACGAUGCAUAGCCGACCUGAGAGGGUGAUCGGCCACACUGGAACUGAGACACGGUCCAGACUCCUACGGGAGGCAGCAGUAGGGAAUCUUCCGCAAUGGGCGAAAGCCUGACGGAGCAACGCCGCGUGAGUGAUGAAGGUCUUCGGAUCGUAAAACUCUGUUAUUAGGGAAGAACAUAUGUGUAAGUAACUGUGCACAUCUUGACGGUACCUAAUCAGAAAGCCACGGCUAACUACGUG
This 497-nucleotide ribosomal RNA is filed under the name uncultured bacterium. RNAcentral describes it as "partial 16S ribosomal RNA". It matches the Rfam family "Bacterial small subunit ribosomal RNA", at positions 28 to 507 of the family's 1533-position model. The record is from RNAcentral.